UUUCCCUACGGACGCAGCAGUGGGGGAUAUUGCACAAUGGGGGGAACCCUGAUGCAGCGACGCCGCGUGUGGGAAGACGGUCCUCUGGAUUGUAAACCACUGUCCCCAGGGACGAAAAUGACGGUACCUGGGGAGGAAGCUCCGGCUAACUACGUGCCAGCAGCCGCGGUAAUACGUAGGGAGCGAGCGUUGUCCGGAAUUACUGGGUGUAAAGGGAGCGUAGGCGGGGAUGCAAGUUGGGUGUCAAAACUACCGGCUCAACUGGUAGUCGCACUCAAAACCGCAGCUCUUGAGUGAAGGAGAGG
This 305-nucleotide ribosomal RNA is filed under the name uncultured bacterium. RNAcentral's name for it is "bacterial SSU rRNA". It matches the Rfam family "Bacterial small subunit ribosomal RNA", at positions 335 to 657 of the family's 1533-position model. The record is from RNAcentral.